This 421-nucleotide ribosomal RNA is filed under the name Escherichia coli. RNAcentral's name for it is "partial 23S ribosomal RNA". It matches the Rfam family "Bacterial large subunit ribosomal RNA", at positions 1 to 452 of the family's 2925-position model. RNAcentral also lists the same sequence under 1 other name. Lineage: Bacteria; Pseudomonadati; Pseudomonadota; Gammaproteobacteria; Enterobacterales; Enterobacteriaceae. The record is from RNAcentral.
GGGUUGUGAGGUUAAGCGACUAAGCGUACACGGUGGAUGCCCUGGCAGUCAGAGGCGAUGAAGGACGUGCUAAUCUGCGAUAAGCGUCGGUAAGGUGAUAUGAACCGUUAUAACCGGCGAUUUCCGAAUGGGGAAACCCAGUGUGAUUCGUCACACUAUCAUUAACUGAAUCCAUAGGUUAAUGAGGCGAACCGGGGGAACUGAAACAUCUAAGUACCCCGAGGAAAAGAAAUCAACCGAGAUUCCCCCAGUAGCGGCGAGCGAACGGGGAGCAGCCCAGAGCCUGAAUCAGUGUGUGUGUUAGUGGAAGCGUCUGGAAAGGCGCGCGAUACAGGGUGACAGCCCCGUACACAAAAAUGCACAUACUGUGAGCUCGAUGAGUAGGGCGGGACACGUGGUAUCCUGUCUGAAUAUGGGGGGA